ACUUUAAUUGAAGAGUUUGAUCAUGGCUCAGAUUGAACGCUGGCGGCAGGCCUAACACAUGCAAGUCGAGCGGUAACAGAAAAGAAGCUUGCUUCUUUUGCUGACGAGCGGCGGACGGGUGAGUAAUGCCUGGGAAUAUACCCUGAUGUGGGGGAUAACUAUUGGAAACGAUAGCUAAUACCGCAUAAUCUCUUCGGAGCAAAGAGGGGGACCUUCGGGCCUC
Molecule: ribosomal RNA, 223 nt
Filed under: Photobacterium aquimaris
Lineage: Bacteria; Pseudomonadati; Pseudomonadota; Gammaproteobacteria; Vibrionales; Vibrionaceae
Description: partial 16S ribosomal RNA
Rfam family: Bacterial small subunit ribosomal RNA
Source: RNAcentral